This 1023-nucleotide long non-coding RNA is filed under the name Felis catus (domestic cat). RNAcentral describes it as "lncRNA (ENSFCAG00000047316.1)". The record is from RNAcentral. Lineage: Eukaryota; Metazoa; Chordata; Mammalia; Carnivora; Felidae.
AUGGGAAGCCCUGCGUGGCCUGCUCAUCUGAAAUGUAAACGCAAAAUACUUAUGACUUCCCAGACACCGGCUUCGGCUUCUGGAAGGGGUCCCGUGCACAGGGCUGAGGGCUCUGCCCCAGGCGUCCGUUUGUUGAUUAACCAAAGGCUGGGCCUGUCCUUCCUCUGCUCUCUUCAUGGAAAGGGGCUCUGGGGAGGCCGUGCAGGGGCUUUCACUGUGUUUCCACCGUCAGAAGCUAUGGCCAAGUUCACUUUUCCAAGUCAGAAUGUGGAAGGAGGGACCGUGUGUCCUGCGCCUCUGGGCCCCAGGUCCCCUCUGUGCUCACACCAGGUUUGUCACCCUAGAGCAUGUGUGCGGAUUCUCUGCAGGGGAGGGUCUGAGUCCAGACCUGAGCACCGAGACCGUGAAAAAGCAGAAGGAAAACACCGUGUUCUUCCAAAGCUCGCAGCACUGGAGGCAGCCCGGACCUCCCACCUGGAGUGGUUCUGGCCUCAACGUGCGUCCCGUCGGUGGGACCGGCUCCGUUUCAUUUUGUCUCAGAAAACCCGAGAGCCCGGAGGUGUGGCAGGUGGGGUCAUCCCAGAGGCCCACCACGAGAGGAGGGAGGCGUGCCACGCAGCGUGGAAAACCUCUGCUGGUGGACAGUCCCACCGAGUCCCCAGCCACCUCCCUCGGCGUGUCCCUCUACACGUGCUAAUUGGCUGUUGCUAUUCUAGGGAAAUGCUCUUUAUCACAAAUAAUCUGAAGUUGGGGUCCCUGGAUGGCUCCGUCCACGGAGCGUCUGUCCUCAGCUCAGGUCAUGAUCUCACGGUUCGGUUUGUGAGUUCGAGCCCCACAUCUGUCUCUCUGCUGCCAGUGCAGAGCCUGCUUGGGAUUCUCUGUCCCUCUCUCUCCGCCCCUCCCCACCCAAGCUCUCCCUCUCAAAAACAAAUAAAACAUCUAAAGAAAUCAUCUGAAAUUAAAAACAAAUGUGCUCAGCUUUGUGCGUGCACGGCCUUAAUGAGUUUCACUAAUUCCUCGUGA